Molecule: long non-coding RNA, 247 nt
Filed under: Elaeis guineensis (African oil palm)
Lineage: Eukaryota; Viridiplantae; Streptophyta; Magnoliopsida; Arecales; Arecaceae
Description: long non-coding RNA (EGUI_LNC043273)
Source: RNAcentral
GCCCGAACAGUGGACAUAUACUCGUGCUGGCUUUGCAACUCGUUUGACAUAGAUGCCAGCACAUAAUACUUGACUCGACUAUCUUCAUCCGUCCACUUCUCGAAAGCAACUUUUUGCUCAACUGUAGGAUGGUUUGGUAGCACUAUAGGAUCCUGGUCAAAAAUAUUGCUUAAUUUUUUUGAGGUCAGGACAAUCCUGAGAUUUUUGAGCCAGUCUUUGUAAUUGGUACCGGUCAAAUGAUUGGUUU